Molecule: ribosomal RNA, 829 nt
Filed under: uncultured bacterium
Lineage: Bacteria
Description: bacterial SSU rRNA
Rfam family: Bacterial small subunit ribosomal RNA
Source: RNAcentral
GGCGCAGAGUUGCCUAACGCAAAUGCCCUCUACCUUUUACACAAGGAUACCCAAGAAAAAUUUGUAUUACUACCUCCCAACAGGGGACCUGGGGGUCUCUGCACUCCUCUCGUCAUUCGUGAAACCAUGACCAUGCAUCCCGUUGGUGGGUUGGAAGCGUACCGGCUUACCAAUGCUACAAUGGGCAGGGGUCCUGAUAGGGAGAUCCCCCACUGUGGCACUGACACAACUCCCACACUCCUACGGGAGGCGGAAUAGAGGAAUAUGGGACAAUGCCUGAUCCCCUGAUCCCGCCAUGCCGCGUGCAGGAUGACGGUCCUAUGGAUUGUAAACUGAUUUUAAACGGGACUAAACACUCCCUCGAGAGGGAUCUUGACGGUCCUGUAAGAAUAACGAUCGGCUACUUCCCCGCCAGCCGCCGCGGUACUACGGAGGGUGCAAGCGUUGUCAGGAUUUGUUGGUUUUAAAGGGUGCGUAGGCGGCUGAAUAAGUAUGCGAAAAACCACUUCUGCUUAUCCGGACCGCUGCCGUUGAUGCUGUUUAACAUGGGUGUAGAAGAAGGACAUGGAAUUGAUGGUGUAGCGAAGAAAUGCAAAGAUACCAUCAAGAACACCGAUAACGAAGGCCUUGUGCUGUACCACUGCUGACGAUGAGCCACGAAAGUGUGAGGAUCGAACAGGAUUAGAUACCCUGGUAGUCCACACCGACGACGAUGAUUACUCGCUGUUAUACUGUAUGCUGUAGCGGCCAGCUAACGCAUUAAGUAAACCACCUGGGGAGUACGCCCGCAACAGUGAAACUCAAAUGAAUUGACGGGGGUCCGCACAAG